This 284-nucleotide long non-coding RNA is filed under the name Panax ginseng (ginseng). Its description in RNAcentral is "long non-coding RNA (PGIN_LNC001786)". Lineage: Eukaryota; Viridiplantae; Streptophyta; Magnoliopsida; Apiales; Araliaceae. The record is from RNAcentral.
AAUUAUAUUGAUGAAUUAUAGCCAGCUUAUUAUUCAUACUCUUCAAUCAUGAUAUAUCUUUAUAUUGUUGUAUUUAAACUUGCUGGGCAACUUUCAUGCUCACCCUUGCUAUAUCAUGAUAAACAUUGCAGAUAAGGCGAAUGCGUUCGGAUACAGGAAAAGGUUAAUGCCAAGUACAGCUUGGGAUAAAUUGUACGGCUAUUUUGUAAUAGUAUAGUUGAAUAAUAUCUUAUCUGAUAGAUAGCUUAUGAUUUGUGUUUAAGUUAAGGUUACUCGACCUUGGG